CGGUAUGCCUAAGACAUGCAAGUCGAACGGGCUGUGUAUGCAGCCAGUGGCGGACGGGUGAGUAACACGUAGGUGACCUACCCCAAAGUCUGGGACAACUAGGAGAAAUCUUAGCUAAUCCUGGAUGUGGACAUCUACUUUGGUGGAUGUUUAAAGCUUCGGCGCUUUGGGAUGGGCCUGCGGCGCAUCAGGUAGUUGGUGGGGUAAUGGCCUACCAAGCCGACGACGCGUAGCUGGUCUGAGAGGACGAUCAGCCACAGGGGUACUGAGACACGGACCCCACUCCUACGGGAGGCAGCAGUUAGGAAUCUUCCGCAAUGGGCGAAAGCCUGACGGAGCGAUACCGCUUGAAGGACGAAGCCCUUCGGGGUGUAAACUUCUGAACUCGGGACGAUAAUGACGGUACCGAGGUAAUAGCACCGGCUAACUCCGUGCCAGCAGCCGCGGUAAUACGGAGGGUGCGAGCGUUACCCGGAUUUACUGGGUGUAAAGGGCGUGUAGGCGGUCUCUCAAGUCCGAUGCUAAAGACCGAAGCUCAACUUCGGGGGUGCGUUGGAUACUGUGAGGCUAGACGGUCGGAGAGGGUAGCGGAAUUUCCGGAGUAGCGGUGAAAUGCGCAGAUACCGGAAGGAACGCCGAUAGCGAAAGCAGCUACCUGGACGAUUUGUGACGCUGAGGCGCGAAAGCGUGGGGAGCAAACCGGAUUAGAUACCCGGGUAGUCCACGCCCUAAACGAUGAGUGCUGGGUGUCCGACAUCUGUUGGGUGCCGUAGCUAACGCGUUAAGCACUCCACCUGGGAAGUACGGUCGCAAGACUGAAACUCAAAGGAAUUGACGGGGGCCCGCACAAGCGGUGGAGCAUGUGGUUUAAUUCGAAGCAACGCGCAGAACCUUACCAGGUCUUGACAUCCUGGGAACCCUGGUGAAAGCCGGGGGUGCCCGCAAGGGAACCCAGAAACAGGUGCUGCUAGGUCGUCGUCAGC
Molecule: ribosomal RNA, 983 nt
Filed under: Meiothermus sp.
Lineage: Bacteria; Thermotogati; Deinococcota; Deinococci; Thermales; Thermaceae
Description: bacterial SSU rRNA
Rfam family: Bacterial small subunit ribosomal RNA
Source: RNAcentral